Molecule: ribosomal RNA, 301 nt
Filed under: uncultured bacterium
Lineage: Bacteria
Description: partial 16S ribosomal RNA
Rfam family: Bacterial small subunit ribosomal RNA
Source: RNAcentral
CAGUAGCCGCGGUAAUACGAAGGUCCCGAGCGUUGUUCGGAAUCACUGGGCGUAAAGGGAGCGUAGGCGGCGUGGUAAGUCAGAUGUGAAAUCCCGGGGCUCAACCCCGGAACUGCAUCCGAUACUGCCAUGCUAGAGGAUUGGAGAGGUAGCUGGAAUUCUUGGUGUAGCAGUGAAAUGCGUGGAGAUCAAGAGGAACACUCGUGGCGAAAGCGAGCUACUGGACAAUAACUGACGCUGAGGCUCGAAGGCCAGGGUAGCGAAAGGGAUUAGAUACCCCCGUAGUCCCUGUCUCUUAUAC